GGCAGGAGUGGCUCCACUGUCACUAUGAGACAAGGAUGUCCUUUUUACCACUGAGCUUGUUCUAAGUUUCCUCUGGACCUCCUCUGUUGAUAAGCUAGUGGGGACUUGAGGAGUGAGGCUGGAAGUCCAGCCUCCCUGCCAACACCUCAGGGAUGAAGAUUAGCUCUUUGGAACUGAGAGAUGAGAUGAGGCCUGGAAAACUUCCCCCAGUACAGUCAAGUUCCUGUUGACUAAUUCUGUGACCACCAGUGACAGUCUUUGAGUCCGUGAGGCAGAGUUGCGGCAGCACAGGCUUUGCUUGGAGUUGGAUGGUUCGCACCCUGCUUGGCAUGGUUUCUAAGAGACAUCCUCUGAGUGGAUGAGGGGAGAAUCCAGCAGGCCUCUAGUCACACUGGAGAAAAACAAGGAGAGAAAAAUCUAAACCCAGCAGAAGAGAAAGUUUAAGAAAGCGGUCGUCGCCAAUACCAAAAUUAGCUAUGAUAUUCAGGAAGAAAAAAAUGGAAACACGAUAACCACAGUCAAUAAAGACCAAGGCCACAUUCCAUUGACCAGAGCUCAGCCACGCGCCACACCUGGCUAAAGAGACUCUGGCUGAAGAAUUCCCUGAAUAUUUUAAUGUAGCUCUAGGUUAUAACACAGAACAACCACAAGGUGGCAGAAGAACUCCAUUCUUGUAAAUCUCUUAGUUGCUUCUUUAUUUCAUCUUCCCUAUUCCAUCUAAUGUUCCCUGAAUUUUACUAUUUUGUUGGUUUGAAAAUAUGUGUGACUUACGUCCUUUAAAGGAUUUGGUUCGUAAGGUUUUGAAUAGACUGGAAUAUAAAACAUUUAUAGAAAAGAAAAA
This 841-nucleotide long non-coding RNA is filed under the name Homo sapiens (human). RNAcentral describes it as "long intergenic non-protein coding RNA 158". The record is from RNAcentral. Lineage: Eukaryota; Metazoa; Chordata; Mammalia; Primates; Hominidae.